This 1152-nucleotide ribosomal RNA is filed under the name uncultured bacterium. RNAcentral describes it as "bacterial SSU rRNA". It matches the Rfam family "Bacterial small subunit ribosomal RNA", at positions 37 to 1180 of the family's 1533-position model. The record is from RNAcentral.
UAGCUACAGGCUUAACACAUGCAAGUCGAGGGGAAACUAUAUUGGAAGCUUGCUUCCGAUAGGCGUCGACCGGCGCACGGGUGAGUAACGCGUAUCCAACCUGCCCACCACUUGGGGAUAACCUUGCAAAAGUAAGACUAAUACCCAAUGAUAUCUCUAGAAGACAUCUGAAAGAGAUUAAAGAUUUAUCGGUGAUGGAUGGGGAUGCGUCUGAUUAGCUUGUUGGCGGGGUAACGGCCCACCAAGGCAACGAUCAGUAGGGGUUCUGAGAGGAAGGUCCCCCACAUUGGAACUGAGACACGGUCCAAACUCCUACGGGAGGCAGCAGUGAGGAAUAUUGGUCAAUGGACGAGAGUCUGAACCAGCCAAGUAGCGUGCAGGAAGACGGCCCUAUGGGUUGUAAACUGCUUUUAUAAGGGAAUAAAGUGAGUCUCGUGAGACUUUUUGCAUGUACCUUACGAAUAAGGACCGGCUAAUUCCGUGCCAGCAGCCGCGGUAAUACGGAAGGUCCGGGCGUUAUCCGGAUUUAUUGGGUUUAAAGGGAGCGUAGGCCGGAGAUUAAGCGUGUUGUGAAAUGUAGACGCUCAACGUCUGCACUGCAGCGCGAACUGGUUUCCUUGAGUACGCACAAAGUGGGCGGAAUUCGUGGUGUAGCGGUGAAAUGCUUAGAUAUCACGAAGAACUCCGAUUGCGAAGGCAGCUCACUGGAGCGCAACUGACGCUGAAGCUCGAAAGUGCGGGUAUCGAACAGGAUUAGAUACCCUGGUAGUCCGCACGGUAAACGAUGGAUGCCCGCUGUUGGUCUGAAUAGGUCAGCGGCCAAGCGAAAGCAUUAAGCAUCCCACCUGGGGAGUACGCCGGCAACGGUGAAACUCAAAGGAAUUGACGGGGGCCCGCACAAGCGGAGGAACAUGUGGUUUAAUUUGAUGAUACGCGAGGAACCUUACCCGGGCUUGAAUUGCAGAGGAAGGAUUUGGAGACAAUGACGCCCUUCGGGGCCUCUGUGAAGGUGCUGCAUGGUUGUCGUCAGCUCGUGCCGUGAGGUGUCGGCUUAAGUGCCAUAACGAGCGCAACCCCUCUCCUUAGUUGCCAUCAGGUCAAGCUGGGCACUCUGGGGACACUGCCACCGUAAGGUGUGAGGAAGGUGGGGAU